Molecule: long non-coding RNA, 479 nt
Filed under: Olea europaea subsp. europaea
Lineage: Eukaryota; Viridiplantae; Streptophyta; Magnoliopsida; Lamiales; Oleaceae
Source: RNAcentral
CUUCCCUGUUCUCUCUCUUCCAUUAUUACCGUCUUCCCCAACAUUGCGUCUUCCCCAAACUCUUCAUAUUUCCCCACAUUUUACUACUAACGUUAGAAUCGAAGCCUUCACGAAGCACGAGCGUCCAGUCUCAGCACCUCCGGGAUCAUUCUUUUUCUUUCAUUUUCCUUUCCUUUCCUUUUUCUUUUUCAUCUAUAGUCCUUUUUGUUUCUUCCCCACAUUUUACUUUCUUCCCUAGGUUUCCACCAACAAAUUGUUCUUCGUAUGUACUCUGCUCUGAUCCACCAACAAAUUACCAUCCCGCCGCCUUCAAUCAUCCGUCGAGCCCACUAAACUAACGAAGAAAGUUAGAUCCAUUGAACGUUUGGAGGUAUGGUUUAUCGAUCUUUAUUUGUUGGGUUUUAAAAUUUUUGGUGCUUUUCCAUGUGGAUUAUGCUGUGGGUUUGAGUUUUGACUUAGCAUGUAUUAGUAAUUUGGAG